RNAcentral lists this ribosomal RNA (486 nucleotides) under uncultured bacterium. Its description in RNAcentral is "partial 16S ribosomal RNA". It matches the Rfam family "Bacterial small subunit ribosomal RNA", at positions 30 to 507 of the family's 1533-position model. The record is from RNAcentral.
AUUGAACGCUGGCGGCAUGCCUUACACAUGCAAGUCGAACGGCAGCACGGGUGAUUGCUCCUGGUGGCGAGUGGCGAACGGGUGAGUAAUACAUUGGAACAUGUCCUGUAGUGGGGGAUAGCCCGGCGAAAGCCGGAUUAAUACCGCAUACGAUCCACGGAUGAAAGCGGGGGACCUUCGGGCCUCGCGCUAUAGGGCUGGCUGAUGGCUGAUUAGCUAGUUGGUGGGGUAAAGGCCUACCAAGGCGACGAUCAGUAGCUGGUCUGAGAGGACGACCAGCCACACUGGGACUGAGACACGGCCCAGACUCCUACGGGAGGCAGCAGUGGGGAAUUUUGGACAAUGGGCGAAAGCCUGAUCCAGCAAUGCCGCGUGUGUGAAGAAGGCCUUCGGGUUGUAAAGCACUUUUGUCCGGAAAGAAAUCCUUGGCUCUAAUACGGUCGGGGGAUGACGGUACCGGAAGAAUAAGCACCGGCUAACUACGUG